Long non-coding RNA from Rosa chinensis, 397 nucleotides. RefSeq lists it as uncharacterized. The transcript is spliced from 3 exons. The record is from RefSeq and is a predicted model, not a curated record. Lineage: Eukaryota; Viridiplantae; Streptophyta; Magnoliopsida; Rosales; Rosaceae.
CCAUUUUUGAUUUUUGGUGCAUGAACCCGAUUUUCCCUAAAUCAAGAGGCUAGGCUAUGGGUUUGGCAAGGAUUUGUGGUGAAGAAGGCCAAUGAGGAGGAUUAGGCCAUGAGUUUUGAAGAAGAAAGGGAAACACGAUCGUUAAGGAAGCUUAAGCGGAAAGCGUCAGAGUGUGGAAUACGCCGGCAUUUCCAGAUAAGGUGAGCUGUCCCUUCCUUGUUAGAGGUUUUCGAUAUAUGUGGAAUGCUAUACUAAGAUAGUAUGUUGCCGGCAAUUGCGUUUUUCGUUGUUCAUUAGUCGAUGCCUCGUGAUACAUGUGUUUUCAGAACUGAUAAUUGCUAAUUACGAAAACCGAGGCUAGACUUGCAUGUUGAGAUACUGUACCCUUGUAUGUUUA